GAUGAACGCUAGCUACAGGCUUAACACAUGCAAGUCGCGGGGCAGCAUGGGGGUUGCUUGCAAUCCCCGAUGGCGACCGGCGCACGGGUGAGUAACGCGUAUCCAACCUGCCCCUCACCACGGGAUAACCCGGCGAAAGUCGGACUAAUACCGUAUGUUGUCCAUUGACGGCAUCCGAUUUGGACGAAAGGCUUGGCGGUGAGGGAUGGGGAUGCGUCCGAUUAGCCAGACGGCGGGGUAACGGCCCACCGUGGCUACGAUCGGUAGGGGUUCUGAGAGGAAGGUCCCCCACACUGGAACUGAGACACGGUCCAGACUCCUACGGGAGGCAGCAGUGAGGAAUAUUGGUCAAUGGGCGUAAGCCUGAACCAGCCAAGUAGCGUGCAGGAUGACGGCCCUAUGGGUUGUAAACUGCUUUUAUGCGGGGAUAAAGUGGCCCACGUGUGGGCUUUUGCAGGUACCGCAUGAAUAAGGACCGGCUAAUUCCGUG
RNAcentral lists this ribosomal RNA (490 nucleotides) under uncultured bacterium. RNAcentral describes it as "partial 16S ribosomal RNA". It matches the Rfam family "Bacterial small subunit ribosomal RNA", at positions 28 to 507 of the family's 1533-position model. The record is from RNAcentral.